AUUGAACGCUGGCGGCAUGCCUUACACAUGCAAGUCGAACGGCAGCACGGGAGCAAUCCUGGUGGCGAGUGGCGAACGGGUGAGUAAUAUAUCGGAACGUGCCCGGUCGUGGGGAUAACGUAGCGAAAGCUACGCUAAUACCGCAUACGAUCUACGGAUGAAAGCGGGGGGAUCGCAAGACCUCGCGCGAUUGGAGCGGCCGAUAUCAGAUUAGGUAGUUGGUGAGGUAAAGGCUCACCAAGCCGACGAUCUGUAGCUGGUCUGAGAGGACGACCAGCCACACUGGGACUGAGACACGGCCCAGACUCCUACGGGAGGCAGCAGUGGGGAAUAUUGGACAAUGGGCGAAAGCCUGAUCCAGCAAUGCCGCGUGAGUGAUGAAGG
RNAcentral lists this ribosomal RNA (384 nucleotides) under uncultured bacterium. Its description in RNAcentral is "bacterial SSU rRNA". It matches the Rfam family "Bacterial small subunit ribosomal RNA", at positions 29 to 414 of the family's 1533-position model. The record is from RNAcentral.